This 24-nucleotide non-coding RNA is filed under the name Arabidopsis thaliana (thale cress). The record is from RNAcentral. Lineage: Eukaryota; Viridiplantae; Streptophyta; Magnoliopsida; Brassicales; Brassicaceae.
AGCGACACCUCCUUUGAGAAUGAG